UUAGGUGACAUGAAUGCCCACAUACAGGAUUUAGACGGCUAUACCGACAAUAACGGGAAGUCAAUGCUAGACCUUUGCGAGCAACAUAAUCUCGUGAUCGUGAAUACAGGGCCUAAGUGUGAAGGACAGAUCACGUGGGAAGUGGGAAACCGGCAAUCGACCAUUGAUUACUGUCUGAUGACAGAAGGAAUUCAUGAUAAGUUGAGAGAAAUGGUCAUCGAUGAGGAAGGGUUUAGCAGCAUAGGGAGUGACCAUAAACGCAUCAUUUUGAAAAUGGGAUAUGUAGUUGGGAAAGAGAGCAACGAAAGCAAAAUGGCCAGUCCAAAUUUGAACGCUGAACAAAUAGCAAAUAUAGUCACUAGAGUGGAGGAAGAAAUUGGCAAGUUGCCAAGUAAGGGGUGGGAAUAUGGUGAGCUUCUAAGUGUAGUAACGACAGAAAUACGGAAAGAGAAACAACAUGUUCAUUGGAAAGGAAAAAAGAAACCGAAAAGCUGGUGGAACAAGGAGAUACGAGAAGCCAUCGCCGAACGACAGAAAGCAUCUCGAGAGCACAGGCAGGCAAAGAAGGCGCAGUUGCCACAGGAUGAAGUAACCAGUAAAUGGGAAAUAUACCGGGAGAAAAAGUUCAUGGUUCAAAUACUGGUGCAAGCAAAAUUAAAAGGUGAAAGUGAACGUUGGUUGUCAGAAAUACGUGAGAAAAAGAAGGCUGCACCUAGAAUAUUUUGGAAUCACAUAAAAUUAUUAGGCAGGAAGGCAACAACAAUACAACAACAUAUCCUAGACGAAGAUGAAAACAGACUGGAAGGAGAAGCAGCAAUAAAUUACAUCCAAAAAGUAACAGCCGAAUCUUUCCAAGGCAAGGACAAGGUUGUAUUUGAAGAAAAAAAGAGCAUGAAAGAGACCCAAGGGGGAAAGGAGCUAGUGCUUACAAAUUUAAACUGGAAGAAAGCGGAAGAGAAAAUUCCUAAGCGCACAGCCACAGGGCUAGACGAGGUUCCCGUUAGGCUGAUAAAUGAACUGGGACCAAAAAGUAAGGAAGCUCUCGUGAAAGCAGUUGAAAAAACUUUAAAAGAUAGACGAAUACCAGACAGUUGGCGACAAAGUAGAAUGAAUUUAAUUUAUAAAGGUAAGGGGGAGAAAGACAGAAUUCACUCGUAUAGACCGUUGACCAUUACAUCGGUAAUAUACAGGCUAGCAAUGCAGGCAGUGAAAUUAAAGCUUCAAGCAUGGGCAGAAAAUAAUGGCAUUUUGGGAGAGCUUCAGAAUGGCUUUAGAAUAGGUAGGCGUUUGGAUGAUAACUUGUUUGUUCUUACUCAGUGUAUUGAAAUAUCAAAAGCAGAAAGCAGACCGUUGUAUGUAGCCUUUUUGGACAUUACAGGAGCAUACGACAACGUAGACCGCAGCAUUUUGUGGGAUAUUCUGGAAGGGGAAGGCUUAGGUAACGAUUGUAUACAGCUCUUGAGAGAGAUUUACCUAGAAAAUACUGUUUGCGUUGAAUGGGAAGGGAUGAGGAGCGCGGAGAAAGUUCAUAUCAACAAGGGACUGAGGCAGGGGUGCCCUUUAUCCCCGCUGCUGUUUAUGAUGUACAUGGUGAGGAUGGAGAGGGCGCUAGAAGGAAGUAAUAUCGGGUUUAAUCUCUCAUACAAACAGGCAGGUACAGUAAUAGAGCAGCAACUCCCAGGUUUAUUUUAUGCGGACGACAUUGUGUUGCUCGCAAACAAGCAAAGUGAUUUGCAACGUCUGGCUAAUAUCUGUGGACAGGAAGGCAACAAGUUAGGUUUGAAAUUUAGUGUUAGAAAAUCAGGUGUUAUUGUAUUCAAUGAAAACAGUGAACAGACAGUGGAGAUACAGGGCCAAGAAAUACCUCGGGUAACAGAAUAUAAAUACCUUGGUAUAUGGAUAAACGAAGGCAACGGAUAUAUGGAAACACAGGAAAAAACCAUAACAGUCAAGGGGAAGAGAAAUGCAGCCAUAAUGAAGCACAGAGCGCUGUGGGGAUACAAUAGGUACGAGGUCCUCCGAGGUAUGUGGAAAGGGGUAAUGGUUCCAGGACUUACUUUUGGAAAUGCGGUUGUUUGCUUUAAAUCAGGGGUACAAUCAGGACUCGACGGGAACCAAAGGUCAGUGGGUCGCCUCGCAUUGGGCGCUCACGGGAAGACUACAAAUGAAGCUGUGCAAGGGGAUAUGGGCUGGACUAGUUUUGAAGUGAGGGAAGCCCGCAGUAAAAUUGAGUACGAAGAACGGCUGAGGAAUAUGGAGGAAAGUAAAUGGGCUGGGAGAGUGUUCAGGUAUCUGUACAGGCAAAACAUUGAUUCACAGUGGAGGAAAAGAACUAGGAAGCUUACCAGCAAGUAUGCGGCCUGUGGGGUGGGCAACACAGCAACAAAGAAGGUCAAGCGGAAAGUCAGAGAGGCUGAAUUAAUCUCAUGGGUGGCGGCAAUGGAAAAGAAACCUGCCAUGAGUAACUACUUAAGGGGAAAAAACGAAAUUAGGAAAGAAACCAUUUAUGAUAACUCAAAGGGAAGCUCAUUACUUUUCGAAGCGAGAUCGGGAUGCCUUAGAACACGCACCUAUAAAGCGAGAUAUAAGAAUGAAGAAGAAACAUGUGCUUGCUGCGGUAAAGCUAGGGAAACGACGGAACAUAUUUUAUUAGAAUGUGAGGACGUCUACCCAGCGGUCGAUUUAGGCACCACUGGCCUCCUUGAAGCCCUUGGGUUCAGCGGGAGCAGUGGUAAAGCAAACAGGUCCGCAAUAGACAUCAGUAAGAGGCGAUUGGAGGAUUGGUGGAAGAAAAGUAGGGAAACGACAAAAGACGGAGACGUACAAAAGCACAGUUCGCAAUAGGGUAUCAGAAAAUUUGGACGUGGUAGUUCAUAGUGGUUUUUUUUUUUUUUUUUUUUUUUUUCCCAUUGGUGAACAUAGGUAGGAUAUUAGGCAGCAUAGUAGUAAGAGCUUGGUGGCGCAAGCCACCGCCCCGUUCCAAAGGGGACGCUCAUAACAUCCAUCCAUCCAUCCAUCCGGUGGGGAAGAGUAAAGAGGAGAGGGGCAGGAACCAGCUUCUCGGCUCACGCGGCAGGCAUCUAGUAAAGGAGGCAUUGCCCAUGCAUAGAGUUAGUUAGCGCAGCAGCGCCAGAUUCCCUCUAGGUAAUGUAGUGAGAAACUCUGAUCUGCACUACAUAAUUUCGCGGACAAAUGAAUUAGCCAACCUCCUGAAUCAAAAAGCAUGGAGCUCUUAAGUACCGCUAGGUAGCGCGCCAUGGUACCGCCGUUGAUACUGUUCGCGGACACGUAGCGGGAUUACUUAGCUGCAGUAAAUACAACACUGUGGCAUCCAAACGUCAAUAGCUUUCUUCAAAAAUUGACGCUUUAGAGCUUAAAACAUUUAUGCAACCGCUCGCUUGCUUCUAGAUCGAUGUACAGAGAUGCAACCUUGAAGCCACCAAUUCACACUACGUCAUCUCACAUUGUCCGAUUUGUUCAAACAACGUAAAAAUGUGCACGAAAAAAAAAAAAAGAAAAAUAACUUUAAAAUGAAACCGAUCGUGAUUUUUAGGAACAAAAUAAUUAUAUUCGCAAUCGCCACAAAGGGAUUACAUGGGAUAAGGGAGAAAUGUGAAUCCGAACAGUGUCCAGUCAUACGUGUUCUGUGGUCCAGUGUCCGGAAACAGCUGGUGCGAGUUGAAUGUGAGGAGAUUGUGUGAACAGUGUACGGGUGGUGUGCAGAACGUGCAGAAGAACUAAAGCAAAUCGCCGCGCCGCCCACGAUGAAUUUCAUCAACCCUGUUCAAGCGCGACGACGUACCAGAAGAGCUGAAGGAGGCAUACGACCGUGCCAACCACUACCACUUCCUGCACACGCUGGCACUG
Molecule: non-coding RNA, 3867 nt
Organism: Dermacentor andersoni
Lineage: Eukaryota; Metazoa; Arthropoda; Arachnida; Ixodida; Ixodidae
Source: RefSeq, a predicted model, not a curated record